CACAGGAAUACAGCCUAGCCCUGUGCAGCUCCAAAGCAGAGGCAUUCUACCCACAGAUCCGUGCAGAAAUCAGAGCCAGGAAAGCCCUACUAGGUCAUGCAGACCACACACCUUUUAGAGCAGGAAAGUCCUCUCCAAUUGACAUUUAAUCUUCCUGGGAUUAGUCACAAGGAAAUUUCUCAAAGAGGAAAUUGUAUGAGCAAGCCUUUUGACCUGAUUUUUAUCAA
RNAcentral lists this long non-coding RNA (227 nucleotides) under Homo sapiens (human). Its description in RNAcentral is "HSALNT0040945". Lineage: Eukaryota; Metazoa; Chordata; Mammalia; Primates; Hominidae. The record is from RNAcentral.